AUGGAGGGGAUGGCGGGGAUGCUGGAGAGGAUGCAGUUGUCGGAGGAGGAGAGGAAGGGCGUGAAGAUCCGCUGGAAGUCGAGAGCGAAGGAUUCAGCAGGGGAGAUUCAAGCCGUGGGGAAGGUUCUGUCGAAGAGACCGGCGCACCAGGAUGCGAUCUGCAUGGCGUUAGGUCGGUGUUGGUGUCCUCUGAAGGGCGUUGAUUGCAAGGAACUGGGAGAGAAUGUCUUCCUCUUCACGUUCAAGCAGGAAAGUGGAAAGCGAAAGGUGUUGGAGGAGGGCCCUUGGAUGUUCAACAAUGAUCUGGUGGUGAUGGUGGACUUCGUGCCAAGUAAACGGAUUGAUCAGUAUGUGUUUGAGAACAUUCCCAUCUGGUUUAGGGUCUAUGGAUUGCCAUUGGGGAAGAUGGAG
This 411-nucleotide ribosomal RNA is filed under the name Triticum aestivum (bread wheat). Its description in RNAcentral is "partial small subunit ribosomal RNA". Lineage: Eukaryota; Viridiplantae; Streptophyta; Magnoliopsida; Poales; Poaceae. The record is from RNAcentral.